CUUCUUGAUACAUUAACACAUGAACAAUUUGUGAGGAUGGCAGUCACACUUUGGGCCAUUUGGACUUCGCGGCGAAAGGCUAUUCAUGAAGGGAUAUUCCAAACACUAGAGGCAUUGGCUUUUGUGGACAGGUUUGUACAGGAAGUCCAAAUAAUGCAGAAGAAAACGCCUAGGAAAACUACUGCAGGUCCGGUACCUACGCGCUCCACCCGACCACCCCAGGGCCAUGCUAAAAUUCGCGUUGAUGCGGCUGUUAGGCCAGGCAGGGGUGGAUCGGCGUCGACUGUGUGUAGAGACAGUGAUGGAAACUAUCGACGAAGCUCUUCCUUGAUAGUACCAGGAGUUUGUGACCCAGUGGUGCUGGAGGCAAUGGCAUGCCGAGAAGCUCUUUCGUUAGCACAAGACAUUCAUCUAUGCAAUCUUGUCAUAGCAUCCGACUCAAAACAAGUGGUAGGAGAGAUCAACCAAGGAAGUCAAGGAAAAAUUGGAGCAAUCCACACUGAGAUGAAAACCAGAGCAGCGGUGUUUAAUUGUAUCUUUAAUUUUAAGGGUCGUGCGGUCAAUGUUGACGCACAUAGUUUAGCUAGAUUUUUGCUUUCUUUAGCUCCGGGUCGUCAUGUCUGAUUUGGCUAACCACAUGACACAAAUUCUAUCCCACUAUUUGUGGACUUUGAUUAA
RNAcentral lists this ribosomal RNA (678 nucleotides) under Triticum aestivum (bread wheat). RNAcentral's name for it is "partial small subunit ribosomal RNA". Lineage: Eukaryota; Viridiplantae; Streptophyta; Magnoliopsida; Poales; Poaceae. The record is from RNAcentral.